GACACUGCAAUCGCUUCGACGACAUUCCGCAAGGUUGUCUAGGAGUGUUGUUGUUGUGCUCGUUGGAUGCAUUUGCGUGCGGAGUGCGCCGAGUGGGUCGAUGUCGCUGCCGGAAGGGCGUAUAGAGGACUCGGGUUUUCGGACUCGAGAAUCCUGUGCGUUCGGAUAGCAGGUGAUGUUGGCUCGCUGAUGUGGAGUGCGGGUGAAUUCGCGAUGGGCAUCGGUUGUGAGUUGUGGUUGCGGAU
RNAcentral lists this ribosomal RNA (245 nucleotides) under Aphelenchoides besseyi. Its description in RNAcentral is "partial 28S ribosomal RNA". The record is from RNAcentral. Lineage: Eukaryota; Metazoa; Nematoda; Chromadorea; Rhabditida; Aphelenchoididae.